RNAcentral lists this non-coding RNA (21 nucleotides) under Rattus norvegicus (Norway rat). Lineage: Eukaryota; Metazoa; Chordata; Mammalia; Rodentia; Muridae. The record is from RNAcentral.
UCCAAAAAGUGGGUGAGGUAG